Long non-coding RNA from Heterocephalus glaber (naked mole-rat), 1522 nucleotides. The record is from Ensembl. Lineage: Eukaryota; Metazoa; Chordata; Mammalia; Rodentia; Bathyergidae.
GGUCUCCUCUCUGGAUCCCCAGGCCGAAGCCUUGCUCGAUCAGGCUGGCUGGCGAGUGCCUCCGCUUGAGAGGCCGGGGGACCUGAUUCCUGCCCGGAGCGAGUGGUCCCCAACCCGCGGGAAAGUCCUCGGGAGCGCGCGGUCACCUGCUCUCUGGUCGCUGCACCGGGACAAGGGCUCUCGUGGACAGAGGGCCUUUGGCGUGGACACGCCCACUGUCCCCGGGCAGGCUUGCAGUCAGCAUUCUGGACUUUGCCAGGGAAGACUCGGGCAUCUACUCAGUGCGAAGGGGAGCGCGACGGGGAUUCCCAGUCUGCCUCUCCAAACCUGUCUUGGGCCCACCCGCAAUCACACAGGCACUGGGGAGGACCCACUGGAGCUGGAGGAAAGGGCUGUGUCUGCUGAUUAAUCCUGGAGGACUGCCUCUGCAGGCCACCAGGCUAAGCAAGGAGGGUGGGCACCGCUCACUUAUUCCCCAGACACUUAAUAAGGGACAGUCAUGAGCAACGCUCUGGAGAGGAGCAUGGUGAAGCCCUGCUACCCACUAAAACUGAUUUAAUUUUCCCCGGGAUGACUGGCCUCGGGUCCCAGGCCUUUCUGGGGUAUCAGGAUCUUGGACUUGGCUCUUCCCACAACUGAAGUUCCCUGUUUUCCCAGUUUUUAUUCUAUGAACCCUGCGAUCUGCCAGUGUCACACAUUGUGCUGGGCCCCGGCAGAUGAAGGCCCCCAGGCUUGUCCCAAUGGCAUGUGACACGGUGAGCAUCGGAGGGAACUCCAGAAGAGGCCUCCCUGGAGGCUGGCAGAGCACUGAUUCUGAGUCCUGUGUGGCUUCUCCACGAAGGCACCCUGGACCACUGGACCACGCUUCUGCAGACACCGGAAGAAACCGGUUUUCUAGCUGACAGCUAUUCAUCACAGUCACUGUGUGUCACGGAUGUAACAUUUCGAGUCUGUAACAUCCAGAGAUAGACAAUGGAGAACUAUCCAGCCUCCACUGCAAAUUCAUUCUUAAUCCGAUGAAAAAUGUAUCGGGAAACAAACACCUCAGUCCUUGGUUUUGGAAUUCAGCUCCCGAGGAGAAUAGUGCGGUGACAUGCGGGAGAAAUGAUCACAUCCUUGACAACGGAUUUCCAAUCACAAUCACCUGAUUUGCAGUAGAAAAAAUGUUGCCCUUACCAUUUUACUAUAAAAUGUGGCUGCUGAGUGAUUGUGAUUUAAAAACAGACCCGAUCCCCUGGAAAAAAACAGAGCGUCCCUGGGUGGGCUCGAACCACCAACCUUUCGGUUAACAGCCGAACGCGCUAACCGAUUGCGCCACAGAGACCGCGGUGACUGCUGGGGUGGCAGACAGCCGAGUCAAUGGGAGCGAGGCCAGCAUGGCUCGGGGUAGGGACUGUGCAGCUUCGAAACCGGGCGAAAGAAAUCAGACUAAGCACAGGACCCGGGCGCGGGCUGCAAGGAGUCUGCGCCCCCUAUCCUCAGGAUGCAUCCUGGAUGUGGAGAGGCGGGAACGUUUUGUAGG